Long non-coding RNA from Lethenteron reissneri (Far Eastern brook lamprey), 783 nucleotides. RefSeq lists it as uncharacterized. Lineage: Eukaryota; Metazoa; Chordata; Hyperoartia; Petromyzontiformes; Petromyzontidae. The record is from RefSeq and is a predicted model, not a curated record.
GAGUCGCGCUUCACCCUCUGCACGGGGCCCAGAGUCACGACGUUGUGCACCGCCGUCGCUGCUGACGAUCGCCGGUCCCAGCGGUCCCACCGCAAGAGUCUCGCCGAGUUUGCCCGACUGCAGUCCUGACACACACAAGGCAGGCGGAACACGCGCACGCGGAACCCCGCGCGGCUCGAGCUCCCAUUCUCCGUGAUGGUCAGUGUCUCCGCGGCCGUCGGGCACCUGGGAUGCGAGCGUUGGGAAACCGUCGCGGCUGGCCACAACGCAGCCAGCUGCACUUGCGCACAGCGCCCACGAGGUAAUCCCCAGCAAUCCACACGCGCCAUAGCCCAAGAUGCCGUACGAUUGAUGCCUCCGAUUGAUGCCUCGCACGCGGCCGGCUCGUGUUGGCUUCGCGUGCUCUGGACGUGAAGGACCUGACGACCCAGCCUAUGGCUCUUUGUGAGGAGCCGGCUUCUUCGGGUUGAUUUAUUGUUCCCGCGGCCCUUCCACGGCGGUUGAGCCCAACCCGCCUGGAGGACCGACGUCACGGACUCGUUCAAAGACUCGAUUCGCGUGAUCCUCGCGCAUUGCACACUUCCACACCAUCAUGGGUUGUCGCGCUCGCACGAGUCAUGGUGAGUAUUUGGCUGAUCCUGCUCGCCAUCGAGCUCACGGACAUUGUUACACAUUGUGGGUGGGAGAUGUUGAUUGUGGGGAUCUUUAACGACGCGAUUGUUAAUUAUUUUCUUUUCUCUCUCCGUGUAUAUGUUGUACAGUUGGGUUUGGGUAAUUCUUCAC